Molecule: non-coding RNA, 487 nt
Organism: Salmo salar (Atlantic salmon)
Lineage: Eukaryota; Metazoa; Chordata; Actinopteri; Salmoniformes; Salmonidae
Source: RefSeq, a predicted model, not a curated record
UGGACAGGUCAGUGUUGGUGGUUAGCUAUGGACAGGUCAGUGUUGGUGGUUAGCUAUGGACAGGUCAGUGUUGGUGGAUAGCUGUGUGUUAGCUAUGGACAGGUCAGUGUUGGUGGAUAGCUGUGUGUUAGCUAUGGACAGGUCAGUGUUGGUGGUUAGCUAUGGACAGGUCAGUGUUGGUGGUUAGCUGUGUGUUAGCUAUGGACAGGUCAGUGUUGGUGGAUAGCUGUGUAUUAGCUAUGGACAGGUCAGUGUUGGUGGAUAGCUGUGUGUUAGCUAUGGACAGGUCAGUGUUGGUGGAUAGCUGUGUGUUAGCUAUGGACAGGUCAGUGUUGGUGGUUAGCUGUGUGUUAGCUAUGGACAGGUCAGUGUUGGUGGAUAGCUGUGUAUUAGCUAUGGACAGGUCAGUGUUGGUGGAUAGCUGUGUAUUAGCUAUGGACAGGUCAGUGUUGGUGGUUAGCUGUGUAUUAGCUAUGGACAGGUCAGU